UACGUAGGGUGCAAGCGUUGUCCGGAAUUAUUGGGCGUAAAGAGCUCGUAGGCGGUCUGUCGCGUCUGGUGUGAAAAUCCAGGGCUUAACCCUGGACCUGCAUCGGGUACGGGCAGACUAGAGUGCGGUAGGGGAGAUCGGAAUUCCUGGUGUAGCGGUGAAAUGCGCAGAUAUCAGGAGGAACACCGGUGGCGAAGGCGGUUCUCUGGGCCUUACCUGACACUGAGGAGCGAAAGCGUGGGGAGCGAACAGG
This 253-nucleotide ribosomal RNA is filed under the name uncultured bacterium. RNAcentral describes it as "partial 16S ribosomal RNA". It matches the Rfam family "Bacterial small subunit ribosomal RNA", at positions 524 to 776 of the family's 1533-position model. The record is from RNAcentral.